Molecule: unclassified non-coding RNA, 335 nt
Filed under: uncultured fungus
Lineage: Eukaryota; Fungi
Description: partial contains 5.8S ribosomal RNA and internal transcribed spacer 2
Rfam family: 5.8S ribosomal RNA (bases 1-132)
Source: RNAcentral
UGGUUCUGGCAUCGAUGAAGAACGCAGCGAAAUGCGAUAAGUAAUGCGAAUUGCAGAAUCCGUGAGUCAUCGAAUCUUUGAACGCAUAUUGCGCCCUUUGGUAUUCCGAAGGGCAUGCCUGUUCGAGCGUCAUUAUCACCCCUCAAGCCUGUGCUUGGUGUUGGAUCUGGUUAUGCUUCGGCGUAACCAGUCUCAAAGAUAGUGACGGCGUCCCAGAAGGAACCGGUACGAGGAGCUUCUAACCAAGCAUGUACGCGGCGUGAUUCUGCGGGCGACGGUCUUUAUAACCAUUAUUUCUAAGUGUUGACCUCGGAUCAGGUAGGAAUACCCGCUGA